UUACCACUCAGAUAAUCUGUAGGCACAAAUAUCACCGUGAUGUAGCCCCCAAAAGUCUACAACGGUGGGCAUUCAGUCCCCGCUAUUUCGUGUGGUGUAGCCCAUAGGAGUUUUGGAUCUGCCUGAGCUUUAGCAUCCUCUCCUAUCGUGGUCUUACGAAACUGAUGGACGGAGUGGAUUUGUCACGAGCAUCUGUUGCCCCUAACAGCUUCCGGGGCACAGUAACUUUCCCGUGCCCGCACUCCGCGUCGGUUCUGUUGUAGGUCGAGAGCGUGGAAAGCUUUUGCGUCAUAUCAUUCAAGAUGUUUCCGCUCAAAAACCAUCUCUUGUCGAACCCCAGGAUUCCAUUUCCACGGGCAAAGGUACCGACGUUUCUUUCUCCUCUUUCCCUUCUUUCUUUCUUCAUACUGUUUCACAUUCCCUAUUGCUUUAUUCCAGCUGAGUUUUUCAUUUUGAGUUCAUUACAACAAGCCCAAAUGAUGUAAACGAACAAGGUGCAGGUACUUUGUAGAUUUGGGGCCAACUUCAUUUGGGAAUCAAAUAAGGUUUUAUACAAGGGAGGCACGGACCGCAUUGUUUAUGUCGAUUGAGUUAUUGAUUACCUCAAUCUUCUAUCCAACUUGCAAAUUCCAUGCACUUUGGAUAAAAGAUUGAGGUAAUUGAUUGCCCGAUUGUUAAAAAAAUAUUUGCAAGCUGACCAACAUUAGCAGCAUCAGGUACAAAUAUCUUGGUGUAGAUUUGGAUUCACUUGUGUCGAUUGAGAUUGAUGACGUAUUAUCUGAUAUGAUGGACGCAUUUCCUCAAAGCAGCGAGCAUCUUCACCUAUAUGUUUUUGGUGCCCAAAAAUCUUUCAAUCGCCAUUUUGAUUCCCAGGUAGUACUUCAAUACAAAUUUGUUUGUGUUCUCAGUUAUGUAGUUCAUUGAUUAUUUCUCACUUGUUUCUGUGUUUGUUUCUUCAGUAACCUUAUAUAGAAUGUCGACACUGGAAAUGUUCAAGUAUCAUUGCAGGAUUUAUGUGGAAGUAAUGAAACACUUGCACCUUCCUCACAUAAUACUAAUGCCAAUAACAAUGAUGUUCCAAGUGCAUCAAGUGACUUGCAUGAAACAUACUGCUUGUUGAUGGAUAGUUGUGUUAAUGACAUGCAAAAACUGAUGUUGAUCUUAAAAGAAGGCCAAGAAUUCGAAGAUGCAAAUGCUUUCUACAAGGCUUUAAGGGAUUAUGCCAUGCGUUUGAAUUUCCAGUACAAGCAAACCAGGUCAAGCAGUGGCCAUUAUCAGGCGAAUGCAUUAAAGGCGAUUGCUCAUGGCGCAUACAUGCAUGUAAGCUUCCUGACAAGCCUAUAUUCAAGAUAAAAUCCUUGGAAGGGAAACCAUACUUGUAAUGUUGUGGAUGAGUCAACAAUGUCAAACACCACAACACAUUGACAAACUGGUAUGAAGGAUUGCUGCUUUAGACAAGGAUCGACUCUAGAAAAAUUUACGCUAUCCACCCAAAGAUAUUUUCAAUGAGAUUAGUCGAGAAUAUAGGAUCAAAGUAAGUAAUGAUAAAGCUUGGAGGGGUAAAGAAUUGACACAGAGAUGAACUAUGGACCACCCAUUAUGACUCUUACGGCGAUUUGGGAAAAAAUACAAACAACAAAUCCAGGAAGCAUGACAAAGCUUAGCAGGUCAUUAAACGAUUCCUUGAGACUUUUUGUUGCAUAUAAGGCUGCCAUCCGUGGUUUCAAGCAAGCAUGUACACCACCUGUGAUGCUUGAUUGUAGAAAAUGAAAGCGGACAACCGCAAUCUGUGGUGACUUGGCUCUAAUGUGGAAUGCUAAAUUAUAGAUCACAGCUGGGUAUUUCGACAAACAUUCCCAACCAUAUGUAUUAAUGACAUGCAUAUGGAAAGAUACCAUUAACAACUUAAAGAAUCCCUUCCCGGUUAUUUGAUGUAAACGUUAAUUUAGCUAUGCAUCUCAAGACUUGAGCCAACACAGCACAGAACCAUUUCUAACUCCCUACAUUCUUCAAUUCAACAAAUGCACAUAAGACUGGGAACCCAUUGUCUUCUGCAUCAAAGGCCAUGGCAAAGAGCCACACUACUGGGCAUUUAUUGUGGUUUCACUUUCACUAUUUAUUUCCCAUUUUAAAGGCUGAUAAUGACUUCAUAUUUCAAAUUUUGAUAGGAACUUCUGGUUUGCCCUAUAUUCUUUUUGUAUGCAAUCUAUUUUCUGAUACACUGACUAAUUUUAAAAUUUCAGUAUUGUUGAGCCUUUUGAAGAUGUUAUCGAUCUAAAAGGAGAUCCUGAUGAUGUUUCAAUUAGUAAGAGAGAUGUUGAGCUAUUGCAACCAGAGACAUUCAUCAAUGACACUCUCAUUGACUUUUAUCUUAAGUUGAAAAGCAUGAACUUUCAUGGCUCUCUUUUGUUCCUUGAAGUCUUCUAAUCAUAUCCAUUUUGCUGUAUACUUAAAGAAUAAAGUCCAACUUGAGAACAAGCAUAGGUUCCAUUUUUCCAAUAGUUUUUUCUUCCACAAGCUAGCUGAUCCAGACAAGGAUGCAGGAAAUGUAAAAGAAGGGAGGGGAGCUUUCCUACAUGUUCGUAAAUGGACAUGGAAAAUAAAUAUAUUUGGAAAAGAUUACAUCUUCAUACCUGUAAAUUUCAAGUAAGAAAAAUUUUGCUUGAUGCAUAUUUUAUGCUUAUGAAUAAGUUAACUCUGAUAUUCCAAAUUUGUGCAUUGAUGUAUAUUGGACAACAGUCUUCAUUGGAGAAGUAGCUUAUUUUGAAGGAAAGCGUCCAGUAUUUGCAGAAUCUCCAUUUCUUUCUCAAGUACGAUUGUCUCUCUUUCGUUCAUGCUAUGCUUUUGUCUUUCAGAUGAAGAAAUCGAAAAGGCACCAAAGUACCAUGCAUAGUGCACAUGGAUUCUAUUAAAGGUCUAAAGACUCUUAUUCAAAGGUGAAUGGUCUCCUUCAAUUUCCGUCCUAGUUUAUGUUUAUGUAGGUUGUCUUAUCCUUUUAUUCAAGGAUGGAAUUUUUUUUUUUUUAAUCCAUUAUCUUGAUGGAUACUUGUAAUCUUUAACCUCGUUCUAAUAAAAUUACUGUUGUUGAUCGUUAUCGCCAUCACAA
RNA transcript from Magnolia sinica, 3106 nucleotides. It is a transcript of the gene named probable ubiquitin-like-specific protease 2B, with no coding region annotated. Lineage: Eukaryota; Viridiplantae; Streptophyta; Magnoliopsida; Magnoliales; Magnoliaceae. The record is from RefSeq and is a predicted model, not a curated record. The transcript has 3 exons.